AGAGUUUGAUUCUGGCUCAGAACGAACGCUGGCGGCGUGGAUUAGGCAUGCAAGUCGGACGAUCCCGGACUCGUUUCGGGAUAGUGGCAAACAGAUGAGUAACGCGUGGAUAACCUACCCUGAGCUUGGGGACAACACUGAGAAAUCGGUGCUAAUACCGAAUGCGGUGCCGGUGUGCUUCACCGGUACUAAAGGUGGCCUCUCCUUGGAAGCUGCCGGUUCAGGAUGGGUCCGCGUCCUAUUAGCUUGUUGGUGAGGUAAUGGCUCACCAAGGCGACGAUGGGUACCCGGGCUGAGAGGCUGGUCGGGCAUAUUGGGACUGAGACACUGCCCAAACUCCUACGGGAGGCUGCAGUCGAGAAUAUUUCGCAAUGGGGGAAACCCUGACGACGCGACGCCGCGUGAGCGAUGAAGGUUUUCGGAUUGUAAAGCUCUGUCACCAGGGAGGAAAUGCGGGAAAAUCAACACCUUUCUCGUUAGACAUUACCUGGAGAGGAAGCCCCGGCUAACUCCGUGCCAGCAGCCGCGGUAAUACGGAGGGGGCAAGCGUUGUUCGGAUUCACUGGGCGUAAAGGGUGUGUAGGCGGAUAGGUAAGUGGAGCGCGAAAGCCUGAGGCUUAACUUCAGAAUUGCGUUUCAAACUGCCUGUCUAGAGUACAGGAGAGGUAAGUGGAAUUCUCAGUGUAGCGGUGAAAUGCGUAGAUAUUGAGAAGAACACCAGAAGUGAAAACGGCUUACUAUUCUGAUACUGACGCUGAGGCACGAAGGCUAGGGGAGCAAACAGGAUUAGAUACCCUGGUAGUCCUAGCAGUAAACGAUGUCAACUUGGUGUGGGGAGGUUCGACCUUCUCCGUGCCGGAGCUAACGCGUUAAGUUGACCGCCUGGGGAGUACGGCCGCAAGGCUAAAACUCAAAGAAAUUGACGGGGGCCCGCACAAGCGGUGGAGCAUGUGGUUUAAUUCGAAGCAACGCGAAGAACCUUACCUGGACUUGACAUGUAUUUGACAGGCUACGAAAUUAGCUUUCCCUUCGGGGCGGAUACACAGGUGUUGCAUGGCUGUCGUCAGCUCGUGUCGUGAGAUGUUGGGUUAAGUCCCGCAACGAGCGCAACCCUUAUUUUCAGUUACCAGCGGGUUAUGCCGGGGACUCUGAAGAGACUGCCUGUGGUAAGCAGGAGGAAGGUGGGGACGACGUCAAGUCAUUAUGGCCCUUACGUCCAGGGCUACACACGUGCUACAAUGGCCGGUACAAUGGGGAGUAAAACCGCGAGGUGGAGCAAAUCCUGGAAAACCGGUCCCAGUUCGGAUUGGAGUCUGCAACCCGACUCCAUGAAGCAGGAAUCGCUAGUAAUGGCAGAUCAGCUACGCUGCCGUGAAUACGUUCCCGGGCCUUGUACACACCGCCCGUCACAUCAUGAAAGUUGGUUUUACCCGUAGUCGCUAUACUAACUGUAAAAGGAGGAAAGCGCCGAAGGUGAGGCCGAUAAUUGGGAUGAAGUCGUAACAAGGCA
RNAcentral lists this ribosomal RNA (1510 nucleotides) under metagenome. RNAcentral describes it as "bacterial SSU rRNA". It matches the Rfam family "Bacterial small subunit ribosomal RNA". The record is from RNAcentral.